ACACACACACACAUACACAGAGGUCUUUUCCACGCGUGUGCGUAUUCUCGCUUGCCCGGUGCUUCCCGAUUUUGCUGGAAACGGAAAGAGUGGCUUAAGUGCGUCCCAGCAAACCGGCAAUGUCUUUGACACUUGAUCUCGGUGCUGCACGUCCAAAGCAAGAAAGCCCGGUCCACCCCAACUCCUGUCCCUCUGAGGACGCUCCUGGCCGGGGACGGGGACCCAGAGGAGGAGCGCUCCUAGAGCAAGGCGGAGGACAAAGAAGGGAAAACAGAAGCAAAGUCUUAGAAUUGCCGGUGUUAAAAAAGACUGCUGUUCAUUGCUGACUUUCUCAUAUUUUGCUACAAAGGAAAAAGAAAUUGAAUGAUGUGUCUACAUUUGAGAAGAAAACACUAGCAACAGUGGUGUAGGUUGAAAAGUCAUUGUGCCGAAAGGGCAGGAGUGAAUGAAGUCCCGGGGGGCCGCGGACGCGGGGCGAGGAGACCUCCUGAAAUGCGAUCCGAAGCUGCUUUGUGAGAUGCACCUGGGUUGAAGAGUCAGGUCAAGGGCUUCAAAGCCCUGGCCCGCACGUGGGAAACUCUCCUGUCCUCUUGCCUGCGUCCCGCCCCGCCUUCUCGCGGGUGCCCCCCUUUCCCCUUCCACUUUCUCGCUUUCCCUCCAGCUCUCUCUGCGCUUCUUCCUCCACACCUCUCCUCGAGGUAAUCUCAGCUUUCUCCUCUUCUAUUUUGCUAGUCUGUGUAUUUUAGAGUGAUUAAGCCCCAAGUAUUUCUCCUAACACACACAGAAGUAGGUUCUUGGGCUAUAUGAGCGCAUUCAUUCGUUCAUUGUUUGAAAAAGAACGGAAUCCGCACGUCUGAGACGUUGCGGCUGAGUACUCAGUGCUGAUCUACUGGGAGGCUCACUUCCGUCAGAGUAGGGAACCAAUCCAGGUCGCGGGCCAAAGGUAGUCCCGGUUUACCUGCUGCACAAAUUACCAUCCCAAGCGAUGUUUAUCUGGAUUGCCCGAACACUUCUGACUGCGUGGUAAACACAAACCUUACUCAGCUGUGAUUUAAAAAGAUAAAAACUAUAAACACGACUUAUUUGUUCCCCUGUUGGAGCCCGGUCUUCGGAAGGCACGCCCUGCGCGCUCACCUCGAGGAAGGCAGCGGCGCUGCCGAGCGGGGAGCGCGCUGGCUGCCCCGGGCCCAGGUCUGGUGUCGGAACCUCCGCGCACCCCUCGGCCAGCCUCGCACCCACGUGGGGCCAGGUCUUGGAGCGCCGGGAGGGUUAAAGGAACUUCAAGCUUUAGGGGUCUAUUCCCCUUUCUGAUUGGAGUUUUACAAACCCACUUGAUCUCCGUUUCUACUUCUGAUUCUUCUCCUCCUUCCCUUCCCCUUUUUCUUUCUUCAGUGUCCCUGUCUUUCCCGUACACACACACACACACACACACACACACACACACACACACACACGGUGACUUGGGCAUCGGUCCACACAAACACCCACAGAACCCCGACCCCUUCUUAUUCCAUUGCUCCUCGCUUCUGCAACUAGAACUAGGGAGGAAAAAGGAGCGGGGAGACAGAGAGAGACAGAGAGGAUCCUAACAAGCAAAGACGCCCAUUUGCACGUCUGGGGUCAUUCUGGCUAAGGGAGAGCACAGUUGCUGCCAGGCAGGGAAUUGCAGAAGAGGCAGUGAGGCUCCUUUCAGCUCCAGCCUUGUCUGGGGUGACCUCUGCGGGAGGUGGGGCUUUGGGGAAGGCAUGGAGGGCGCAUCCUCCCCUGAGGCUCCUCUCUGCGCUUCCCACUCUCUGGGAAGGGAAUUAGGAAGAGAUCCAAUCCCCAGGCCACAAGGAUUCCCAGGAUUUGGAGAAACCGAGUAAGAUCCGCACCUUCCAUCUUUGCCAGAUAAGCCUCAAGGAGGCCAUGGGGGGGGGGGGUGAAGUUUUCCGGGGCCAGGAGAACCAGGUCGGCUGGCACUUGAAGUGCUCAGCCUCCUGCACCCCUUAAAGACAGGAGAGCUUCCGCGGGCAGUGCUAGGCCCACCCUACUCCAGCACCUGGGGUUCUGGUGAGAGCAUGGAGGGUCUGCCUCUGGCCUGGAGGGCAGAUCGGCUCCGGGAGAAGCAGUAACUGUGGGUCUGCCCCACACUGCCACCGCCUCACCUCCUGCCCUGGGUCUCCACUGUCCCUCCAGAGGGCAGGCCUGCAGGUACUGCUGGGUGGCUUGCAUGGCCUGGAAGAGCAACAGCAAAGACUCCAAAAGCCCUACCAGCUCUAGGUGGGCUGAUUCAGCCUUUGUGAAGCAGUAGAUGAGCGGAGGAAAGCGAACUUUUAAGUAACAGCGAGUUUUCCGAGAGCCCCUACACUAAGCAAGGUGGAAAAUAGCCUGGGACAGGAGCAGAGAAGCUUUUCCUCCCAUCCCACCCAGAACCUGGGGGAAACCUGGACAGAGAACCACACUCACCUCGGUGGCUGAGAACCCUUUGCAAAGAUGACCUGAUGGUCCCACUCAGCCAGUCUCGGGGCUGCGGUCCUUGCUCACCUCUGGAGCACAGGGUCUGGAGAUAGGUCUGGAGAGACACAAGCGGCCCCAAGACCAGGUUUCACUUUCCCCUCGUUACCUCCUCUUGUAAAGGUCUGCAGAGGAAGAGGAAAGCCUUUUUUUUGGUAGUAAAUCAAAUGUGUAAUUGUACUCACCUCGAAUUAAGGAAUAAAAUGUAUCUUUUUUUCAA
Long non-coding RNA from Chinchilla lanigera (long-tailed chinchilla), 2716 nucleotides. RefSeq lists it as uncharacterized. The transcript is spliced from 4 exons. Lineage: Eukaryota; Metazoa; Chordata; Mammalia; Rodentia; Chinchillidae. The record is from RefSeq and is a predicted model, not a curated record.